RNAcentral lists this ribosomal RNA (464 nucleotides) under Vreelandella stevensii. RNAcentral describes it as "partial 16S ribosomal RNA". It matches the Rfam family "Bacterial small subunit ribosomal RNA", at positions 338 to 795 of the family's 1533-position model. The record is from RNAcentral. Lineage: Bacteria; Pseudomonadati; Pseudomonadota; Gammaproteobacteria; Oceanospirillales; Halomonadaceae.
CCUACGGGGGGCUGCAGUGGGGAAUAUUGGACAAUGGGGGCAACCCUGAUCCAGCCAUGCCGCGUGUGUGAAGAAGGCCCUCGGGUUGUAAAGCACUUUCAGUGAGGAAGAACGCCUGGUGGUUAAUACCCAUCAGGAAAGACAUCACUCACAGAAGAAGCACCGGCUAACUCCGUGCCAGCAGCCGCGGUAAUACGGAGGGUGCGAGCGUUAAUCGGAAUUACUGGGCGUAAAGCGCGCGUAGGUGGCUUGAUAAGCCGGUUGUGAAAGCCCCGGGCUCAACCUGGGAACGGCAUCCGGAACUGUCAAGCUAGAGUGCAGGAGAGGAAGGUAGAAUUCCCGGUGUAGCGGUGAAAUGCGUAGAGAUCGGGAGGAAUACCAGUGGCGAAGGCGGCCUUCUGACUGACACUGACACUGAGGUGCGAAAGCGUGGGUAGCAAACAGGAUUAGAUACCCCGGUAGUC